RNAcentral lists this transfer RNA (71 nucleotides) under Rattus norvegicus (Norway rat). It matches the Rfam family "tRNA". From Rfam's summary of the family: Transfer RNA (tRNA) molecules are approximately 80 nucleotides in length. Their secondary structure includes four short double-helical elements and three loops (D, anti-codon, and T loops). The record is from Rfam by way of RNAcentral. Lineage: Eukaryota; Metazoa; Chordata; Mammalia; Rodentia; Muridae.
GGGGAUUUAGCUCAGUGGUAGAGCGCUUGCCUAGGAAGCGCAAGGCCCUGGGUUCGGUCCCCAGAUCUCGA